Molecule: transfer RNA, 77 nt
Filed under: Chryseobacterium vrystaatense
Lineage: Bacteria; Pseudomonadati; Bacteroidota; Flavobacteriia; Flavobacteriales; Weeksellaceae
Description: tRNA_Lys_TTT
Rfam family: tRNA
About the family: Transfer RNA (tRNA) molecules are approximately 80 nucleotides in length. Their secondary structure includes four short double-helical elements and three loops (D, anti-codon, and T loops).
Source: RNAcentral
AAUCUCAUAGCUCAACAGGUUAGAGCACCGGUCUUUUAAACCGGGGGUUGAAGGUUCAAGUCCUUCUGGGAUUACAA